This 505-nucleotide ribosomal RNA is filed under the name uncultured bacterium. RNAcentral's name for it is "SSU rRNA". It matches the Rfam family "Bacterial small subunit ribosomal RNA", at positions 26 to 518 of the family's 1533-position model. The record is from RNAcentral.
AGGACGAACGCUGGCGGCGCGCUUAACACAUGCAAGUCGAGCGAGAACCUUUCCUUCGGGAUUGGGGACAGCGGCGAACGGGUGAGUAACACGUGGGUAAUCUGCCCUUGACAUCGGGAUAGCCCGGGGAAACCCGGAUUAAUACCGAAUAGCCUCCGGAGCCCUCGGGCGCCGGAGAAAAGGUAGCUUCGGCCUCUGGUCAAGGAUGAGCCCGCGGCGGAUUAGCUUGUUGGCGGGGUAAUGGCCCACCAAGGCGACGAUCCGUAGCUGGUCUGAGAGGACGAUCAGCCACACUGGGACUGAGACACGGCCCAGACUCCUACGGGAGGCAGCAGUGGGGAAUCUUGCGCAAAUGCGGGAAACCGUGACGCAGCGACGCCGCGUGGGGGAAGAAGGCCUUCGGGUUGUAAACCUCUUUCAGGAGGGACGAAGCUACUCGGGUUAAUAGCCCAGAGGGUGACGGUACCUUCAGAAGAAGCCCGGCUAACUACGUGCCAGCAGCCGC